RNAcentral lists this ribosomal RNA (435 nucleotides) under uncultured bacterium. RNAcentral's name for it is "bacterial SSU rRNA". It matches the Rfam family "Bacterial small subunit ribosomal RNA", at positions 958 to 1392 of the family's 1533-position model. The record is from RNAcentral.
AACGCGAAGAACCUUACCUGACCUUGACAUCCCUCCGACAGACCCGUAAUGGGGUUUUACCUUCGGGACAGAGGAGGCAGGUGAUGCAUGGUUGUCGUCAGCUCGUGUCGUGAGAUGUUGGGUUAAGUCCCGCAACGAGCGCAACCCUUAUCCUUAGUAGCCAGCAGGUAGAGCUGGGCACUCUAGGGAGACUGCCGGGGAUAACCCGGAGGAAGGUGGGGAUGACGUCAAAUCAUCAUGCCCCUUAUGGCCAGGGCUACACACGUGCUACAAUGGCGUAAACAAAGGGAAGCGACCUCGUGAGAGUAAGCAAAUCCCAAAAAUAACGUCUCAGUUCGGAUUGUAGUCUGCAACUCGACUACAUGAAGCUGGAGUCGCUAGUAAUCGCGAAUCAGAAUGUCGCGGUGAAUACGUUCCCGGGUCUUGUACACACCG